RNAcentral lists this ribosomal RNA (279 nucleotides) under uncultured bacterium. RNAcentral's name for it is "partial 16S ribosomal RNA". It matches the Rfam family "Bacterial small subunit ribosomal RNA", at positions 506 to 784 of the family's 1533-position model. The record is from RNAcentral.
UGCCAGCCGCCGCGGUAAUACAGAGGGUGCGAGCGUUAAUCGGAAUUACUGGGCGUAAAGGGCGCGUAGGUGGUUAUUUAAGUUGGCUGUGAAAUCCCCGGGCUUAACCUGGGCAAGUCAGUCAAAACUGGGUAACUAGAGUACAGUAGAGGGUAGUGGAAUUUCCGGUGUAGCGGUGAAAUGCGUAGAUAUCGGAAGGAACACCAGUGGCGAAGGCGACUACCUGGACUGAUACUGACACUGAGGCGCGAAAGCGUGGGGAGCGAACAGGAUUAUAUA